CCAUCUUCCUCGUUGGAUCUAGAAAUUUCUCCUUGCUCUUUCCUCAAUUCACGUUCAUCUUCUCUCAUUCACUGUGCUGGACUCCACCUCUUUUCUUCCUUCUUUGUCAUUCGGUGUCGUAUGUGGUGAGUACUGAGUAGGAUCAUCUUCGUCUCUUCCUUCACUUCUCUGCGGUUGAAGCAUUCAAGAACAGGGGAGGAGUUGGGUAUUGGUCAGAUGAAUCGAUAGAGGGAAAAGAGUUUCUACCAUGUGGCGCGCUGCUGUGCGGGUUGCUGCCAUAGUCUCCUCUCUUUACCUCUGCUUCGCACAUCGCUGGUCUGUGUUCACCUUUUCUUCCUUGUUUAAGUGGCAGCAUCUUCUCUUAGCUUUCACCAUUGUUGAUUAGAGGCAGAAUCCAUCAUCAUUCAUCAUCACAGUCAAUUGUAAUCUUCAUUCUGUCUCCUUGGUACUAUAAUUGCUUUGCACGCUAAAGGCUUUACCUAAAUUAGUUGGUAUACGUGUAUGAUGGCAAGUUCCUCAUCCAAAUGAGUAUAUUGUUAUUUUCAUAUUGGAGGGCAAAUGGUGAAGAAUCAGGAUGGGAGUAUACGUUAUGAAGGUGGGAGGCCAAAAGGAAGAGCAAUUAAUGAAGGCACAACACUUGAAGAGUUGAAAAGAAUUAUGAGAUCUUGUAUUGGGUUGGAAACAAAUAUAUUGGAGAUGAAGUAUACCAUAAAACCUAAAAUAAACACAUUAGUUGACCUUAAAGAUGAUGAAGGAGUUGCUAAUUUGAUAGAGUUUAACAACGAUACUACCCAUGUUUAUAUUGUUGGCGAUGAUGUUAGUAAUAUAGAUAUGGUAAU
Prosopis cineraria is the source of this 839-nucleotide long non-coding RNA. RefSeq lists it as uncharacterized. The transcript has 3 exons. The record is from RefSeq and is a predicted model, not a curated record. Lineage: Eukaryota; Viridiplantae; Streptophyta; Magnoliopsida; Fabales; Fabaceae.